CGAGCGAGCAGAACCAGCAGAUUUACUUCGGUAAUGACGCUGGGGACGCGAGCGGCGGAUGGGUGAGUAACACGUGGGGAACCUGCCCCAUAGUCUGGGAUACCACUUGGAAACAGGUGCUAAUACCGGAUAAUAAAGCAGAUCGCAUGAUCAGCUUAUAAAAGGCGGCGUAAGCUGUCGCUAUGGGAUGGCCCCGCGGUGCAUUAGCUAGUUGGUAAGGUAACGGCUUACCAAGGCAAUGAUGCAUAGCCGAGUUGAGAGACUGAACGGCCACAUUGGGACUGAGACACGGCCCAAACUCCUACGGGAGGCAGCAGUAGGGAAUCUUCCACAAUGGACGCAAGUCUGAUGGAGCAACGCCGCGUGAGUGAAGAAGGUUUUCGGAUCGUAAAGCUCUGUUGUUGGUGAAGAAGGAUAGAGGUAGUAACUGGCCUUUAUUUGACGGUAAUCAACCAGAAAGUCACGGCUAACUACGUGCCAGCAGCCGCGGUAAUACGUAGGUGGCAAGCGUUGUCCGGAUUUAUUGGGCGUAAAGCGAGCGCAGGCGGAAGAAUAAGUCUGAUGUGAAAGCCCUCGGCUUAACCGAGGAAUUGCAUCGGAAACUGUUUUUCUUGAGUGCAGAAGAGGAGAGUGGAACUCCAUGUGUAGCGGUGGAAUGCGUAGAUAUAUGGAAGAACACCAGUGGCGAAGGCGGCUCUCUGGUCUGC
This 707-nucleotide ribosomal RNA is filed under the name uncultured bacterium. RNAcentral's name for it is "bacterial SSU rRNA". It matches the Rfam family "Bacterial small subunit ribosomal RNA", at positions 63 to 737 of the family's 1533-position model. The record is from RNAcentral.